GGGUCAGUAGGUUGGUCGUGCCACCGGUACGUACUGGUCUCACUGGUUCCUCCUUCCUGAAGAACCGUAAUGCCAUUAAUUUGGUGUUGCGGGGAAACAGGACUGUUACUUUGAAAAAAUUAGAGUGUUUAAAGCAAGCUAACGCUUGAAUACAUUAGCAUGGAAUAAUGAAAUAGGACGAUCGAUCCUAUUUUGUUGGUUUCUAGGAUUGACGCA
This 216-nucleotide ribosomal RNA is filed under the name Glomeromycotina sp. RNAcentral describes it as "partial small subunit ribosomal RNA". The stretch from base 47 to 216 matches the Rfam family "Eukaryotic small subunit ribosomal RNA", at positions 693 to 864 of the family's 1831-position model. The record is from RNAcentral. Lineage: Eukaryota; Fungi; Glomeromycota.